RNAcentral lists this non-coding RNA (253 nucleotides) under uncultured prokaryote. RNAcentral's name for it is "partial 16S ribosomal RNA". It matches the Rfam family "Bacterial small subunit ribosomal RNA", at positions 524 to 776 of the family's 1533-position model. The record is from RNAcentral. RNAcentral also lists the same sequence under 1 other name.
GACGAACCGUACAAACGUUAUUCGGAAUCACUGGGCUUAAAGGGUGCGUAGGCGGCGCUGAAAGUUGGGUGUGAAAUCCCUCGGCUCAACCGAGGAACUGCGCCCAAAACUACAGUGCUUGAGGGAGAUAGAGGUGAGCGGAACUUAGGGUGGAGCGGUGAAAUGCGUUGAUAUCCUAAGGAACGCCAGGGGCGAAAGCGGCUCACUGGGUCUCUUCUGACGCUGAGGCACGAAAGCUAGGGUAGCGAACGGG